UUGCGACAAUCGCUUGACGUUUUCACCUCUCGGACGCGCGAGAGAGGAAGCGAAAGAUGGCGACGCUUCUCGUCUAGUCGGCGGUGGACGGCUGCGACAACUGGCUGUUCGGGCUGCGACCUGGCUCACGUGAAAGGGAGGGUUGCCGAGUAAUUCCCACCAUUUCCCUCGAUCUUCCUUGGCAGCGGCAAGAUGGAACUCCCGUGGUCACGAAUGUCUCUUGAUUUCAGAUAUACUCUUUCUUGUUUCUCUGUUUUGUUUUCCCCUUUUUUUAUAAGUUUCUUCUCUGUCAUAUGCUUGUGGAAACUAAAAUGGCUGGUUUAAUACGAUUUCAACUUAGGUUUUUUAUUCAGGCUCCAAGUUAGGUUUCUACUAGUUUAUUCAUUUUUAUUAACAAUGGCUGGUUUAAUACGAUUUCAACUUAGGUAUUUUAGUUUCUUCUCUGUCAUCUGCUUGUGGAAACUAAAAUCGUUGAAUUUAAAGCAUGUAGGUCCUUAGAUUUUAAAACUUUCCGCAAACUCAGGGUAUAUUGUUCAUGCUUCAGGGUAAUCUGUUCAAUUUUUCUGAAUGAUCUGUUUCCAUAUCUAUUUCUGAUUUAUAAAUGAUUUCCUUCUAUUUAGUCUUUUUUUUUUUGUUUUAUCCGCCAACUCAUUUGAUUUUUGAAUGCUAAAACAGUAAUUAGCCUUUUGCAAAUUCGAGUCAGGUAUAAUUUCUAUCAUCCCAAAAAUUCUUUUUUUAAUGCUAACAUUUUACCCGUAACAUGGUUAAGUUUUAUGCUAUAAGAUUUAUUAUGAUUUAUUUAUCCACAACUCCACAAUAACGAAGAGCAUGUAUGCCAAAUCCAUGCAAAUACAUUUCAAAGUCACCACUUUAUUUUUGCUACAAGUUGCAGUUCUAGCGCAGCAGGAAACUUCAUUUUGCAUAAAACUAUUUAAGAAGAAAGAAAUCAUUUUUAGGGAAUAUAACGUUCUUUAUCAUUGUCUGUGAGCUCCUGGCUAAACAAUGAAAAUACAUUGAAACUUAUUAUUUUUCUCCUUUCUUUGAAUGAUGGAUUUAAAGUGGACAUCAACUAAUGAAAAUACAUUAAUCAUAUUUCUCUCUUUUUACAUCAUGUGUAGUGAAAGAUUGGAUAUCUUCAUUGAAACUCUUUGUUUGAGGUUUGUUAGGUUAACUUAAUCAUCAUGAUAUUGAAUGGGUAGGUAUAAAAGUUAUGUUCUAGUAUUGUUAUUUAGUUGGAAGAAUAGAUUGCUUUGACCAAUCAAUAAUAUAAUUUACUUCACAAAACAUUAUUUUUGUCUGUUUUGAUGACUUACUUCAUAUCAUUCAUUAUUUUAAAAUCUAAUUGCUUAGUCAAAAUAAAAGUUUUGACAGUGUCACAAGAGAAGAAGAAGAAAAUUUAAGACAGCUCAAAUCUUGUGGAAGUUAUUUUUCUCCAGAAUCAGAAGCAAUUUUCUGGCAUUUUCAGUGCUCGAGUUAUCCAUGUCCAAGGAGCAACAAGAAUGUAAGUCUUUGCAGAACUGUGCUUUAUUGAUGAAGAUAGAGAAGAUCACUCUUUAUUUGAAGAACAAUGACAUCAUUGGGGAGAACAAGAGGGUUAGAGUGAUAGCACUCUUCCUCAGUCAAGAGAACCAAGUACUCCAGUUUCAUACUCAAGACAUGAAGAAAUCCAACAUAUGCAUAUUUCUGAUUUAUGGUUAGGCUAGCAUAUAUGUCUGUAGGUGUGUAUACUACAAUAAUUUAAGAGGAUGAAUAGGAAAAGGAUUUAUUCUUGUAAAUUCUAUUGAUCAUAUAUGCUUGCUCUGUUCCCAUUAUUUUC
RNA transcript from Dendrobium catenatum, 1816 nucleotides. RefSeq lists it as uncharacterized. Lineage: Eukaryota; Viridiplantae; Streptophyta; Magnoliopsida; Asparagales; Orchidaceae. The record is from RefSeq and is a predicted model, not a curated record. The transcript is spliced from 3 exons.